This 483-nucleotide ribosomal RNA is filed under the name uncultured bacterium. RNAcentral's name for it is "partial 16S ribosomal RNA". It matches the Rfam family "Bacterial small subunit ribosomal RNA", at positions 28 to 523 of the family's 1533-position model. The record is from RNAcentral.
GACGAACGCUGGCGGCGUGCUUAACACAUGCAAGUCGAACGAUGAAGCCGGAGCUUGCUCCGGUGGAUUAGUGGCGAACGGGUGAGUAACACGUGAGCAAUCUGCCCUUGACUCCGGGAUAACUGCGGGAAACUGUAGCUAAUACCGGAUACGACACCUUGGGGCAUCCCAGGGUGUGGAAAGAAUUUGGGGCAAGGAUGAGCUCGCGGCCUAUCAGCUAGUUGGUGCGGUAAUGGCUCACCAAGGCGACGACGGGUAGCCGGCCUGAGAGGGGGACCGGCCACACUGGAACUGAGACACGGUCCAGACUCCUACGGGAGGCAGCAGUGGGGAAUAUUGCACAAUGGGCGAAAGCCUGAUGCAGCAACGCCGCGUGAGGGAUGAAGGCCUUCGGUGUGUAAACCUCUUUUAGCAGGGAAGAAGCGAAAGUGACGGUACCUGCAGAAAAAGCACCGGCUAACUACGUGCCAGCCGCCGCCGUAA